CAGUCGCCACGGGAAAACGUAGGUGGCAAGCGUUGUCCGGAAUUAUGGGGCGUAAAGCGCGCGCAGGCGGAUAGGUCAGUCUGUCUUAAAAGUUCGGGGCUUAACCCCGUGAGGGGAUGGAAACUGCUGAUCUAGAGUAUCGGAGAGGAAAGUGGAAUUCCUAGUGUAGCGGUGAAAUGCGUAGAUAUUAGGAAGAACACCAGUGGCGAAGGCGACUUUCUGGACGAAAACUGACGCUGAGGCGCGAAAGCCAGGGGAGCGAACGGGAUUAGAUACCCCCGUAGUCCCUGUCUCUUAUACA
Molecule: ribosomal RNA, 301 nt
Filed under: uncultured bacterium
Lineage: Bacteria
Description: partial 16S ribosomal RNA
Rfam family: Bacterial small subunit ribosomal RNA
Source: RNAcentral